This 375-nucleotide ribosomal RNA is filed under the name uncultured Glomeromycotina. RNAcentral's name for it is "LSU rRNA". The record is from RNAcentral. Lineage: Eukaryota; Fungi; Glomeromycota.
UUGAAAGGGAAACGAUUGAAGUCAGUCGUACCUGCGGGAUAAUCAGCCUUUCGAGUAUGAUUCUGUGGAGUGUAAGGAGUUUAACCGUCUUCAUACCUGCAUAUUCGUGCGCUUUGGGUGUACUUGUCCGUAUGGUAGGUUAACAUCAAUUUUGGUCGUUAUAAAAUGACUAGGGGAAUGUAGCUUUGAUCCCGUAUUGAAGUGUUAUAGCCUCUGGUAAAUGCAGUGACUAGGAUUGAGGAUUGCAACGGAUACCUUUCGGGGCUACUCGUCUGAUCUCUGGAAGUUACUUUGGUGCUAAAAGCUUGCUUAUGGUUAUCGAAGUUGACGGUCAAUAGGUUAGAACGAGUUAAAUUCGUUAAGGAUGUUGACGUA